GGGGCUGUGGCGCAAUGGCAACGCGUGUGACUCCAGUUAUCUGGAUUAAUCUCAAGAUUGCAGGUUCGACUCCUGUCAGCCUCA
Monascus purpureus is the source of this 84-nucleotide non-coding RNA. Lineage: Eukaryota; Fungi; Ascomycota; Eurotiomycetes; Eurotiales; Aspergillaceae. The record is from the annotation of a GenBank genome assembly.